This 429-nucleotide ribosomal RNA is filed under the name Actinomycetes bacterium. RNAcentral's name for it is "Actinobacteria bacterium partial 16S ribosomal RNA". It matches the Rfam family "Bacterial small subunit ribosomal RNA", at positions 355 to 776 of the family's 1533-position model. The record is from RNAcentral. Lineage: Bacteria; Bacillati; Actinomycetota; Actinomycetes.
UAGGGAAUCUUCCGCAAUGGGCGAAAGCUUGACGGAGCAACGCCGCGUGAGUGAUGAAGGUCUUCGGAUCGUAAAACUCUGUUAUUAGGGAAGAACAAAUGUGUAAGUAACUAUGCACGUCUUGACGGUACCUAAUCAGAAAGCCACGGCUAACUACGUGCCAGCAGCCGCGGUAAUACGUAGGUGGCAAGCGUUAUCCGGAAUUAUUGGGCGUAAAGCGCGCGUAGGCGGUUUUUUAAGUCUGAUGUGAAAGCCCACGGCUCAACCGUGGAGGGUCAUUGGAAACUGGAAAACUUGAGUGCAGAAGAGGAAAGUGAAAUUCCAUGUGUAGCGGUGAAAUGCGCAGAGAUAUGGAGGAACACCAGUGGCGAAGGCGACUUUCUGGUCUGUAACUGACGCUGAUGUGCGAAAGCGUGGGGAUCAAACAGG